UGAUAGCUAUGAAGCGUGAGGUUGCUGCUUUAUCCAGUUAAGCAGGUUUUCCGUGGAGCGAAUGUCAAGGACCGAGUGAUCGGCCAAACAAACUGACGACAA
Molecule: non-coding RNA, 102 nt
Organism: Butyrivibrio sp. AE3009
Lineage: Bacteria; Bacillati; Bacillota; Clostridia; Lachnospirales; Lachnospiraceae
Source: Rfam